ACCCUUUUGUUUCUCUGGCUUCUAUCCCACCCCCAGCAAAUUCCCACAUGGCAUCUGGGAAUCAAAGAAUCUUUACCCUAUAAAAACAAAAUCAGGGCCAUAGCGCCAGAGACACAGAGAGAGAGUGGAGACCCACAGACCACGGCCGGCACUGCAGGUAGUGGUGGCUUCAGAAGUUGGUGGCUUUUGCACUUCCUGGGAGCCCUGAAGGAAAAGCCCAGACUCGGUGUCCGAAAAGCCCUUUGCUGCUCACUGUGUGGCUACAGGUAGCUCUGGGGAGCCCAGUGGGGGCGGGUGGGCACAGGUUGGGCAGAUGAGGAGGAGAAGCAGAGGGAGGCCCAGCAUUGCCCAGUCCGGACUUUGUCCCACGGGGAGGGCUCAGGCUGGGAUUUUGGGGUGUAAGGACUCUAGCCACCCCGAGGACCAUGGGGGUGUCACAUGGACAUCUGCAUUGGGGGCCUGGCUAGGGAGCCCACAGAGUCCAGGAAAGCCCAUGGUUAGAUGGUAAUUCUGGACCAAGGAGCCCAUUGCUCUUGGGGUUCAGCUCAGGGCCUUUGCAUCUGCCAUUGCCUCUGCCGGGCAAAACUCUUCCCUGCUUAGCACAUGGAUGCAAAACCUCGCUGGCCUCUCAGCCUCUUGCUUCUUUUUUUUCCUGUUGCUCCUGUCACUUAUUUCUGUUUCUUAUCUGUUUCUUCCAACUAAUAUACAAGGGAUCUUGAAUGUCGUUUCACUGCCACCGCCCCAGGGCCUGAAAAGAAACUAUCACGCAAAGGAAAUAAAUAGAUGCGUGAAUCAUCAAUGAGCGGACAACAACCUGGGGCUGCUGAGUACCGUCCGUCGGGGUGUGGACUGCACAACUCUGGAGGUCACCAUUCUGAAGGACGGUGCUCCAAGAGCAGGCCACCGUGUAUGGCCCCACUGCACACAGCAGUCCUGGGCUCCUCUGUAACCCCACCAUGCUUGCCCCCUGCACGGCUGUGCUGGCUCUGCUUUCUACUUCCAGACUUGUCCCCCCCCCCCCCCCCCUCCAUUUGCACUGAGUUUUCCACUUCUGAUGCCCAAGAGUGAGUCCAGUCCAUCUGGCUGUCUGCUUUAGGCUGGGUCACGGGGGCUCUGGUCAGCUUGCAAUGGUGGCAGCCAUGUGACCGCCUUUCACCUGCCUGUUUCUGGCUGGGGAGGGACGGCAAGGUUGCCUGUGGUGGCUGCCCACCUACUUCCUUCCUGGGCCCCUGCAGACCCUGAGAAAUGCUCUCAUUUCACUCCCACACCUCCCCAAGAAGGUGGCACCGAUUAUACCCACUUCACAGGUGAACUGUCUGAAGUUGUCAGGGUGACUGAGUUCAAAUGUGACUUCUCGCUCUCUGCUCGUGUAACCCUAGGCAGACUGCGUAAUCUCGCCGAGCCUCAGUUUCCUCAUCUGUAAAAUGCACAUAACAAUAAUCCCUCUUUUGAAAGAGGCGUGUGGAUCAAGUGAGGCGAUACAGGUAGCAACGGCUGUCGGCUGUCGGUGCAACGUCUGUGAGCACAUGCUCCUCUUCUCUGGCCCAGAAGUGCUGGUGCCUGGUGUGCAGAGAGCUGGGGUGUGGGCGCAUGCUGUGCACCCCUAGUUUGUGUCCCUGGGGCUCAGCUAUCAUGUGAGCAGAGAGGGAGGAAAGAAAGCAGCCACGCCUGUGUUCCAAGCAAGUGUUCUUGUAAGUCUGCAGCCAACUGCCAAAGCCCUGUGGCCACCUGAUCACCCUGAGCCAUGGGGUUCUAAGAUGAGCCCCACCCUCAGAGUGGGGACUCGGGGUGGGGGGACAGCUGCCAUCACACAGUGGUAGCAGAGUUCGGGGGACGAUCCCACCCCUGAUUUCGAGUCAGGCGUUGCUCCAGACGAACCCUACUUGCUCUUGGAGAGUUCAUUCAUGCGUUCACAACAUACACGGCACUGUUUUGGAAUCUUUUCACAGCAAGGAACAAAUCAGAACAAAAUCUGUACCCACAUCUUAGUGGAGGAAGAGAGACAAUAAAAAAUUAAACAUGUAAGUACACAUUAUGAGUGGUGGUAAACACAGAAAAUGGGGAUUGUUCCUGACAGGGUGAAGGGAAGGUAUCAAUCAUGAAAUUAUAUUUGAGCAGAGCCCCAGAGGAGGUGAAAGGGGACAUAGAUAUUGGGAGACAAGCUUCCUAAGCAGAUGGAUCAGCAAGUGCAAAGGCCCUGGUGUGGGCAUUAUGCUAUAAGACAGAAUUGAGGACACAGCUGAUGUUUCUUAGUGUAGCAUUCCAGAUGGAGUAUAGGAUGCCUGGUUAUGCUGGAAUCACAGUUAAACAAUGGCCAAUUCUAAUAUAAGGAUGUCCCAUACAAUUUGGGACAUAUUUAUACUAAAAAAAUUUAUUCAUUGUUUAAUUGAAAUUAAAAUUUAACUGUGUUAUAUUUUUAUUUGCUAUAUCUGGUGAAUCUCUUCAGUGGUCAGUCAUCGUGUAAGGCACAGAAAUAAAGAUCUUGGUGCUUCUACAAGGGGCCCUGGCUGGAAGACACAGGGAGUCAGCACAGGGGGGCCUGGCAGUGGAUGCUGGUCUUGCUGUUUGGGACCGUGGGCCUUGGCUGAGCCCUCCGCCUUAUGAGCCUUCCUAACUCAGCUGGAGGUGGGAGACGCAGUAUCUGAUUCCGGGGGCAGUAGGAAGAUCAGAGAUGAGCUUCAGGCAGCACGCCUUUAAUCCCAGCUCCUUGGGAGGCUGAGACAAGGUCACAAGUUUGAGUUCAGCCUGGGCAUCAUGGAGAGGCCUGGUCUCCAAAUGAAAAAUAAAAAGUUCUGAGGACAUAGCUCAGCGGGCCCAACCCCCAAUACUGCCAGAAACCCUAAAACAACAACAACAACAACAAUAACAAAACUGGAGUGAAACCGCAAACCUUUCUGCCCUGUCGCCUUGUCAUUGACACUAACUCCUAUCAAGCUUCGUAUUGUGUAUUGUGUACGAGAUGUGCUCGCAUCUGCUGAUCUUCUGAAACUAUCUUUUCACAUGAGUCUUGCUUAAAAAGACAUUUCACCAAGAGGGAGGCAAUAAAGAUAAAACUUGAAGUAAAAGAAACAGCAAUUUUUUUUUUUUUUGUACCAGCGAUUGAACUCGGGUCCUUGCACUUGCACAGCAGGCGGCGAAACCACUGAGCUAAAUCCCUGGCGCAAAAGGACGAUUUUUUUAAAAAUGAGCAGAAACACAGCAAGGGCAGUGAGGGAAGAGAACAGAGACAGCGAGCAGAACUGCGGAGUGGUGACCCGGGAGUUGAAAGCCCAGAGGACUCCCUGCCUGCACUGACUCACUGUGGGACUCGGGGCUGAUGGUUUCUCUCUGGGUCUCAAUUUCUCUAUCUUCAAGAUGAAGGCACUGAACCAUAGAUCUACAGAAUUUUAUUGUAACUGACGGAAAGCUCAGCACACAUUGGCUUGAACAGCCAAGUCCUGGGUGGGACUGGCUUCAGGUUCAGCAGGCUCCAGCGGCUCAUGGUGCUGUCCGUCUGCUGCCUUUUUGCUUGCUUCUCUAUAUAUCUAGCUCUCUCUCUCUCUCUCUCUCUCUCUUUCUCUCUGGCUGUCCUUCAAGGGAGCAGGUAGACAUUGCUUUAAAGAUGGGGAGUCCCCAAACAGAAGAGGUUCAAAUGUCACUGGGAGGAAGGAGACGCUGAUAAGCUAGAGCAAUGAACAUUCCUGCUCUUAAAAAAAGAUUUCUGGUUUUUGAUGUUUCUGCAGGGAGAGGAGUUUAUCAGAUCUGUCACCAGCCCAUGGGCAGUUUUCAGCUACUCACUUUGCAGCCCUUGAGGGGCUUGCAGGGAGUUGCUUGACCAGGUCCUUUGGCUGCAUAAGGGCCGUGCCUUCUUCAAACCCCAUAGCACCCUUUGAAAGGCCAGGGGCACCCUGGGUUUGCAGAAGGGACUGGUAGCUGUGUUGUCACAUGCACGCCCAGGUUGCCAGCCUCUCCAGAAACUCAGAACUCUCUGGUAGCUUUGGAAUCAAAUUCCUGGACCGCCUCCCCGUGGGAAUGAGGUCUGUUCACUGUGGUGCCCACUCCUCGUGAAUCCAGGAGAGGAUGCCCCUUGAAUCCAGUGUCCCUUGCCACUUGUCAUCAAGUCUGUGCUCACGUGGGGUUGGGAGGAAGGUAAAUGUUCCUUGGGCUUUCUACUGUGGGCCCUGCAUCUCUUCGCUGGUGACCUGGCUUCUGCCUUAGGCGGUAAGCGUGUGUGACUUCUGCCAUAAAGGAGGCAGGGAAGAGGGGUGAAGAGGCACUCUGUAUACUCCCUGAACACUGAUAGGGCACCUGCUAUGUGCAAGUGCCCCCAGCACCGGGAGAGACACAAGCCUUCUGUCGGGUGAGCUCCAGUGAAGGACUCAGGUCCUCGAGAGGGUCAGCACAAAGGUGAAACACACCACAGCGGUGACCAGAGACCCAUCGACUAAAAACCAGGCCUCAAGAUAAAGACAAGAGGACCAGACCUACAUACUUCCUCAAAGAACAAACACUGGGCCUAAUGAAGUCUAGAUAGACAUCAGCCACCCUGGUGGGUGACCAGAGAUCUGUGAACCCCCCACUUCCUAGGAGAAUCUUUGUUCUUUCCAUCUACGCUUCUUAGGUGGCUUGUUUCCCAAUUGAACCACCAUUACCUAAGUGCCUACACUUGUAACCUGAUUGGAUGUUCAUGGAUGUGUCCCACGUUGUACGUACGUGGGUUUCACCCUAUAAAACUCCUCUGUAAAGCAGGGUCCCGGGCUACCCACUUGGGGGUAGCCUGCCCCUCGGGAGCUCUCCUAUCCAUAAAUACCUUCUACUCUUAACCCCUGUUGUUCCUAGAACUCAUCGAUUUCUAGAGAACAACAAGAGCUCAGUGUAUCAUACAGCUAACAGGUUGGGAGAUGUAAUAUUUCAUAUUUCAUCUCUGGUAUUAUUUUUUGUAACAGUUGGGGGAAUCAGUUAAUUAAAAUUAUAGCUGACAGAUUAUUCAAUUGUCAGUGUGAAGCCUCCAACAAUUCGUUAAUUGUGACCUCAGGAAUUUAGAGCUCUGCUCCUCGACACGAACUCCAGCAUGAGCAGCACCAGCAGCAGCAGCCUUGGGGAACAGGUUACCAGCCUGGAGUCUUGGGCUCUAUGCAUCUUAAAGCAAGGGAGAAAGGGCUGCUCCCAGGUCCCUGAGCUCGGCUGAGACCUGCGCCGUGCAGACACGUGCAGCAUCCCAUCCCGGCUUGGUCGGGGAUUACCUGGGGGUCUCUGGGCAAGUGAGUCGUGGUCUUCUCAGUGAGGGGAGAGCAGAAGAGGCUGCUCCGUGGGAAGGGGACAUGCAGGAGGUAGUAUAGUCCAGUAGAUGCCACACGCAGGAGCAAAUGCUAGCUUCCAGGGAGCCAGGACCUCUGAGUCAGCUCUUGAAGGAGGAGUGGAAAGGGGCUCCCUCUAAAGCUGAACCAAAGACAGUUAAUGCUCAAAACCAAAACAGGCUUUUUCUGAGAGAAGAAAUAACAGCUGCGAUGGGAAUAAACAAAACCGCAGCUUCCUCUCACUGUUUGCAAGGCUCUGGAAUUCCGCUGUGAUGUCAGCCUUCUCUGAACGGUGUGCGUGUGUCUGUCUUUCUGUGUUUUCCAUUUGGAGCUGCGGCUAUGACCACAUAUGUUUAAGACCAAUAGAGGAUGUUGAGUCUCCAAAAACACCCCAGGAGGAGAGAGUGCAAGGAACCCAGAGCGCCUGCACGGUGAAGGGUUUGCACAGGAACGAGAAUUACAGGAUUUUCAAGCGCCAGUGUGAGUGAGCAUAUUCCUGCCCCUCUAUUCCCUGUCGGGGCUUGAGGACCUCAUCAUCUGGCCUUGGCCAGGUGGGGUGCACAGAGGUGCCGGCUCGGACAUGCCCCCCCUGCUGUGCCAGGCACCCCGUGGGGAAACUGGGCUUCCAUUUGGGCAGAUGAAGUGAGAGUUCUGGGGGAUGAAGAUGAGGUCCCCACCUUCUCUUUGUCGCCUUGGAGACACACACUGUGGGAUGUGCAGGAGAUGUGUGCCAUGGAAACUCCUGAUGGUAACUGAGAUGGAUCUGUGCCCCAGGCUUCACGCAGGGAAGUUGAAUUAUGGGAGUUGAAUUAACGUUGGACUCCUCAGAACAACCAUGGGAGUGAGGAGCAAAGAUGGCUUCUCUGGGGGUCCUGGGCUGAGGGGCCUAGGAAGCUCCUUUGGUGCCUGCCCAGUGAGUGGCCCCAGUCCACCCUUAGGACCAUUCUACUGUACGUAUGGAGCACCUGCUGUGUGCCAGGCCCAGGUGGGCUCAGACGGGGACACAGGCUCCGGGAGCAGUGAUUCACUGAGUCCCACCCUGCAGGGGAAGGGGUGCUCUGCGAGACCGGGUGUGCGAACCCUCAGUGAGGAGCGGUGGUCCAGAGGGCCUUGGGAAGAGGGACGAUCACGCCUCCGGGAGUUUCCCCCGGUUCCGCACUUCCUCCGCACCGCAGCUUUUCCCUCCGCCGCCAGAACCCACCGCUCUGCUCCGGCCUCCUUGCGCGUCCCAACUGCCCGUCCCAGGAGGGCAGGGCAGACUCGGAUUCCUCCCUCCGCAGGCCCAGGGCGUCAAUCCCAGCACCCGGCACCCGGUGGGCACUCGGCCCCAGCGCGCACCACUCGGGGGCUCUCGAGGCGGCCUCUCUUGCGAUCGAGGGCGCGCGGGGCUGAAGAACAAUCUCCGGCCUCGGCUCUCAGCGCCGGAGGUUGGAAGAGGGCGGGUCGCCGGCGCCCGAAGGCGAGGACGCAGAGCCGCGGGAGGAAGGAGCGCUCGCCCGCCCGCCGCCUCGCUGCCUCCCCGCGCUCGUUCUCCGGACUCCUGGAGCUGCCGGCUGCUCCUCCCACCCGCGCCCGCCUCCUCGCUCGCUCGCUCGCUCCCGGGAGCUGCUUUCCAGCCCUGCGGUGGGCCCGGGCGAGUGCGGGGCGAGGGGCCCCGGGC
Long non-coding RNA from Heterocephalus glaber (naked mole-rat), 6936 nucleotides. The record is from Ensembl. Lineage: Eukaryota; Metazoa; Chordata; Mammalia; Rodentia; Bathyergidae.